CAGUAGCCACGGGAAUACGAAGGGGGCUAGCGUUGCUCGGAAUGACUGGGCGUAAAGGGCGCGUAGGCGGAUCACGCAGUCAGAUGUGAAAUUCCUGGGCUUAACCUGGGGGCUGCAUUUGAGACGCGUGGUCUAGAGUGUGAAAGAGGGUCGUGGAAUUCCCAGUGUAGAGGUGAAAUUCGUAGAUAUUGGGAAGAACACCGGUGGCGAAGGCGGCGACCUGGUUCAUGACUGACGCUGAGGCGCGAAAGCGUGGGGAGCAAACAGGAUUAGAUACCCCAGUAGUCCCUGUCUCUUAUAA
This 301-nucleotide ribosomal RNA is filed under the name uncultured bacterium. RNAcentral's name for it is "partial 16S ribosomal RNA". It matches the Rfam family "Bacterial small subunit ribosomal RNA", at positions 509 to 809 of the family's 1533-position model. The record is from RNAcentral.